ACCCGUUGAUCCUGCGGGAGGUCGCUACUAUUAGGGUUCGACUAAGCCAUGCAAGUCGGAGGGGCUCUUCGGAGUCACAGGCAAAAUGCUCAGUACACGUCGUUAAUCUAACCUUAGAUCUGGAAUAACCUUGGAAAACUGAGGCUAAAACCGGAUAUGGGAAAAUAAUUGGAAAAUGUUUUCCUUUAAAAGCAAUGUCUAAGGAUGAGACGGCGGCGGAUUAGGUUGUUGGCGGGGUAAUGGCCCACCAAGCCGACGAUCCGUAGGGGCCGUGAGAGCGGUAGCCCCGAGAAGGACACUGAGAUACUGGUCCUAGCCCUACGGGGUGCAGCAGGCGCGAAACCUUUACAAUGCACGAAAGUGUGAUAAGGGAACCCUAAGUGCUCAUGUUUUACAUGGGCUUUUGCCAAGAAUAAAUAUCUUGGCGAAUAAGUGGUGGGAAAGACUGGUGCCAGCAGCCGCGGUAACACCAGCGCCACAAGUAGGGACCACUACUAUUGGGCCUAAAGCGUCCGUAGCCGGCUGAAUAAAUUUCUUGUGAAAUUGUUGGGCUUAACCUAACAACGUGCAGGAAAAACUGUUCAGCUUGGAACCGGGAGAAGUCAGGAGUAUGCUGGGGGGAGCGGUAAAAUGUUAUAAUCCCCGGUAGACUACCAGUGGCGAAGGCGCCUGACUAGAACGGAUUCGACGGUGAGGGACGAAAGCCAGGGGAGCGAAGCGGAUUAGAUACCCGUGUAGUCCUGGCCGUAAACGCUGCGAGCUAGGUGUUGCAUAUUCUACAUGAAUAUGCAGUAUCGAAGCGAAGGUGAUAAGCUCGCCGCCUGGGAAGUAUGGUCGCAAGGCUGAAACUUAAAGGAAUUGGCGGGGGAGCACUACAAGGGGUGCGGCGUGCGGUUUAAUCUAAUUCAACGCAGAGAAUCUCACCAGAAGCGACGGCAGGAUGAAAGUCAGGCUAAAGGUCUUACUUGACGAGCCGAGAGGUAGUGCAUGGCCGCCGUCAGCUCGUGCUGUAAAGUGUCCUGUUAAGUCAGGCAACGAGCGAGACCUGCAUCUACAAUUGCUAACGGAUUCUUUAGAAUGACUGAGCACAUUGUGGAGACUGCCCUGGAAACAGGGAGGAAGGUGCAGGCUACGGUAGGUCUGUAUGCUCCGAAUCUUCUGGGCUACACGCGCGCAACAAUGGUAAGGACAAUGGGAUGCGACUCCGAAAGGAGGAGCUAAUCCUCGAAACCUUAUCCAAGUCUAGAUUGAGGAUUGUAACUCAUCCUCAUUACAAUGGAAUCCCUAGUAAUCAGAGUUUAUCAUACUCCGGUGAACAUGUCCCUGCUCCUUGCACACACCGCCCGUCAAGCCACCCGAGUAGGGUUUAGGUGAGAGGUAAAUUUUAUUUGCAUCGAACCUAAGCUCAGCGAGGAGGGCUAAGUCGUCACAAGGUA
RNAcentral lists this ribosomal RNA (1436 nucleotides) under metagenome. RNAcentral describes it as "bacterial SSU rRNA". It matches the Rfam family "Archaeal small subunit ribosomal RNA". The record is from RNAcentral.